This 329-nucleotide long non-coding RNA is filed under the name Setaria italica (foxtail millet). RNAcentral describes it as "long non-coding RNA (SITA_LNC003579)". The record is from RNAcentral. Lineage: Eukaryota; Viridiplantae; Streptophyta; Magnoliopsida; Poales; Poaceae.
GAAGCUCGAUCACCAUCCAGAACCACAGCGAAGAUCAGUCUCCGGUCCUUCCUUGUUGCAGCCUCCAUCGAUCCCACCCACCUAGAUGAGCACCUCGUACACCGAGGCGCAGCUCGGCUCCUUCUUUGACCUGCCCGCCGGCGAGGACCUCACGUCCUGGUUCACACACCUCUGCGAGGACCAGGCGCCGGCGGCGUUUCCGGCGCCGGCGGCGGCGUUCGAGGCGCCGUUGGCGAUGGCGGACCCGAGGAAGAGGGCCGCGGAGUACCAGCUGGCGCCGGAAGGGGAGGCGUCGGGGGUGAAGCGGCAGCGGUCCCCGACCAGCUCCC